This 79-nucleotide microRNA precursor is filed under the name Scleropages formosus (Asian bonytongue). RNAcentral's name for it is "mir-17 microRNA precursor family". It matches the Rfam family "mir-17 microRNA precursor family". From Rfam's summary of the family: This family represents the microRNA (miRNA) precursor mir-17, family, which includes mir-20, mir-91, and mir-103. miRNAs are transcribed as ~70nt precursors (modelled here) and subsequently processed by the Dicer enzyme to give a ~22nt product. In this case the mature sequence comes from the 3' arm of the precursor. Lineage: Eukaryota; Metazoa; Chordata; Actinopteri; Osteoglossiformes; Osteoglossidae. The record is from Rfam by way of RNAcentral.
CUCUGUGUGAUAAAGUGCUUACAGUGCAGGUAGUAAUUUCUUUGGCCUACCGCAUUGUGAGCACUUCUUUCCCACGCUG